CCUACGGGGGGCAGCAGUGGGGAAUAUUGCACAAUGGGGGAAACCCUGAUGCAGCGACGCCGCGUGAGUGAGGAAGUAUUUCGGUAUGUAAAGCUCUAUCAGCAGGGAAGAAAAUGACGGUACCUGACUAAGAAGCCCCGGCUAACUACGUGCCAGCAGCCGCGGUAAUACGUAGGGGGCAAGCGUUAUCCGGAUUUACUGGGUGUAAAGGGAGCGUAGGCGGAAGAUCAAGUCAGCGGUAAAAUUGAGAGGCUCAACCUCUUCGAGCCGUUGAAACUGGUUUUCUUGAGUGAGUGAGAAGUAUGCGGAAUGCGUGGUGUAGCGGUGAAAUGCAUAGAUAUCACGCAGAACUCCGAUUGCGAAGGCAGCAUACCGGCGCUCAACUGACGCUCAUGCACGAAAGUGUGGGUAUCGAACAGGAUUAGAUACCCCAGUAGUC
This 439-nucleotide ribosomal RNA is filed under the name uncultured bacterium. RNAcentral describes it as "partial 16S ribosomal RNA". It matches the Rfam family "Bacterial small subunit ribosomal RNA", at positions 338 to 795 of the family's 1533-position model. The record is from RNAcentral.